CAUAUCAAUAAGCGGAGGAAAAGAAACCAACAGGGAUUGCCCCAGUAACGGCGAGUGAAGCGGCAACAGCUCAAAUUUGAAAUCUGGCCCCUAGGGUCCGAGUUGUAAUUUGUAGAGGAUGCUUUUGGUGAGGUGCCGCCCGAGUUCCCUGGAACGGGACGCCGCAGAGGGUGAGAGCCCCGUCUGGCUGGCCACCGAGCCUCUGUAAAGCUCCUUCGACGAGUCGAGUAGUUUGGGAAUGCUGCUCAAAAUGGGAGGUAUAUGUCUUCUAAAGCUAAAUAUUGGCCAGAGACCGAUAGCGCACAAGUAGAGUGAUCGAAAGAUGAAAAGCACCUUGAAAAGAGGGUUAAACAGUACGUGAAAUUGUUGAAAGGGAAGCGCUUGUGACCAGACUUGGGCGCGGCGGAUCAUCCGGGGUUCUCCCCGGUGCACUUCGCCGUGUUCAGGCCAGCAUCAGUUCGGCGCGGGGGAAAAAGGCUUCGGGAACGUGGCUCCUCCGGGAGUGUUAUAGCCCGUUGCAUAAUACCCUGCGCUGGACUGAGGACCGCGCAUCUGCAAGGAUGCUGGCGUAAUGGUCACCAGCGACCCGUCUUGAAACACGGACCAAGGAGUCGUCUUCGUAUGCGAGUGUUCGGGUGUCAAACCCCUACGCGUAAUGAAAGUGAACGCAGGUGAGAGCUUCGGCGCAUCAUCGACCGAUCCUGAUGUUCUCGGAUGGAUUUGAGUAAGAGCAUACGGGGCCGGACCCGAAAGAAGGUGAACUAUGCCUGUAUAGGGUGAAGCCAGAGGAAACUCUGGUGGAGGCUCGCAGCGGUUCUGACGUGCAAAUCGAUCGUCAAAUAUGGGCAUGGGGGCGAAAGACUAAUCGAACCUUCUAGUAGCUGGUUUCCGCCGAAGUUUCCCUCAGGAUAGCAGUGUUGAUCUCAGUUUUAUGAGGUAAAGCGAAUGAUUAGGGACUCGGGGGCGCUAUAUUGCCUUCAUCCAUUCUCAAACUUUAAAUAUGUAAGAAGCCCUUGUUGCUUAAUUGAACGUGGGCAUUCGAAUGUAUCAACACUAGUGGGCCAUUUUUGGUAAGCAGAACUGGCGAUGCGGGAUGAACCGAACGCGAGGUUAAGGUGCCAGAGUAGACGCUCAUCAGACACCACAAAAGGCGUUAGUACAUCUUGACAGCAGGACGGUGGCCAUGGAAGUCGGAAUCCGCUAAGGACUGUGUAACAACUCACCUGCCGAAUGUACUAGCCCUGAAAAUGGAUGGCGCUCAAGCGUCUCACCCAUACCUCGCCCUCGGGGUAGAAACGAUGCCCCGAGGAGUAGGCGGACGUGGAGGUCGUGACGAAGCCUAGGGCGUGAGCCCGGGUCGAACGGCCUCUAGUGCAGAUCUUGGUGGUAGUAGCAAAUACUUCAAUGAGAACUUGAAGGACC
Molecule: ribosomal RNA, 1422 nt
Filed under: Trichoderma atroviride
Lineage: Eukaryota; Fungi; Ascomycota; Sordariomycetes; Hypocreales; Hypocreaceae
Description: eukaryotic LSU rRNA
Rfam family: Eukaryotic large subunit ribosomal RNA
Source: RNAcentral